Molecule: ribosomal RNA, 1422 nt
Filed under: Klebsiella pneumoniae
Lineage: Bacteria; Pseudomonadati; Pseudomonadota; Gammaproteobacteria; Enterobacterales; Enterobacteriaceae
Description: bacterial SSU rRNA
Rfam family: Bacterial small subunit ribosomal RNA
Source: RNAcentral
GCCUACACAUGCAAGUCGAGCGGUAGCACAGAGAGCUUGCUCUCGGGUGACGAGCGGCGGACGGGUGAGUAAUGUCUGGGAAACUGCCUGAUGGAGGGGGAUAACUACUGGAAACGGUAGCUAAUACCGCAUAACGUCGCAAGACCAAAGUGGGGGACCUUCGGGCCUCAUGCCAUCAGAUGUGCCCAGAUGGGAUUAGCUGGUAGGUGGGGUAACGGCUCACCUAGGCGACGAUCCCUAGCUGGUCUGAGAGGAUGACCAGCCACACUGGAACUGAGACACGGUCCAGACUCCUACGGGAGGCAGCAGUGGGGAAUAUUGCACAAUGGGCGCAAGCCUGAUGCAGCCAUGCCGCGUGUGUGAAGAAGGCCUUCGGGUUGUAAAGCACUUUCAGCGGGGAGGAAGGCGGUGAGGUUAAUAACCUCAUCGAUUGACGUUACCCGCAGAAGAAGCACCGGCUAACUCCGUGCCAGCAGCCGCGGUAAUACGGAGGGUGCAAGCGUUAAUCGGAAUUACUGGGCGUAAAGCGCACGCAGGCGGUCUGUCAAGUCGGAUGUGAAAUCCCCGGGCUCAACCUGGGAACUGCAUUCGAAACUGGCAGGCUAGAGUCUUGUAGAGGGGGGUAGAAUUCCAGGUGUAGCGGUGAAAUGCGUAGAGAUCUGGAGGAAUACCGGUGGCGAAGGCGGCCCCCUGGACAAAGACUGACGCUCAGGUGCGAAAGCGUGGGGAGCAAACAGGAUUAGAUACCCUGGUAGUCCACGCUGUAAACGAUGUCGAUUUGGAGGUUGUGCCCUUGAGGCGUGGCUUCCGGAGCUAACGCGUUAAAUCGACCGCCUGGGGAGUACGGCCGCAAGGUUAAAACUCAAAUGAAUUGACGGGGGCCCGCACAAGCGGUGGAGCAUGUGGUUUAAUUCGAUGCAACGCGAAGAACCUUACCUGGUCUUGACAUCCACAGAACUUUCCAGAGAUGGAUUGGUGCCUUCGGGAACUGUGAGACAGGUGCUGCAUGGCUGUCGUCAGCUCGUGUUGUGAAAUGUUGGGUUAAGUCCCGCAACGAGCGCAACCCUUAUCCUUUGUUGCCAGCGGUUAGGCCGGGAACUCAAAGGAGACUGCCAGUGAUAAACUGGAGGAAGGUGGGGAUGACGUCAAGUCAUCAUGGCCCUUACGACCAGGGCUACACACGUGCUACAAUGGCAUAUACAAAGAGAAGCGACCUCGCGAGAGCAAGCGGACCUCAUAAAGUAUGUCGUAGUCCGGAUUGGAGUCUGCAACUCGACUCCAUGAAGUCGGAAUCGCUAGUAAUCGUAGAUCAGAAUGCUACGGUGAAUACGUUCCCGGGCCUUGUACACACCGCCCGUCACACCAUGGGAGUGGGUUGCAAAAGAAGUAGGUAGCUUAACCUUCGGGAGGGCGCUUACCACU